This 224-nucleotide long non-coding RNA is filed under the name Elaeis guineensis (African oil palm). RNAcentral describes it as "long non-coding RNA (EGUI_LNC021371)". Lineage: Eukaryota; Viridiplantae; Streptophyta; Magnoliopsida; Arecales; Arecaceae. The record is from RNAcentral.
GGGCUUAACAGCGAGAGCCGCGGCUUCGGGUUGAGAAGUUCGAACAGCGGCGACUUCCUUCUGCUUUUCACUUCGAAUUAAUAAGACAUAUGCCUUAUUAACUGUUGGUAAUGGCUCCAUGGACAGCAGCUGAUCUCGCAACGUGUCGUAGGAGUCCUUGAGACCAAAAAGAAACUGAUGUAGUCUCUCUUCUUCUUUCUCAACUUGGAUCUCUCUAGUGGCUC